RNAcentral lists this ribosomal RNA (441 nucleotides) under uncultured bacterium. RNAcentral describes it as "partial 16S ribosomal RNA". It matches the Rfam family "Bacterial small subunit ribosomal RNA", at positions 338 to 795 of the family's 1533-position model. The record is from RNAcentral.
CCUACGGGGGGCAGCAGUGGGGAAUAUUGCACAAUGGGGGAAACCCUGAUGCAGCAACGCCGCGUGAAGGACGAAGGUUUUCGGAUUGUAAACUUCUGUUCUUAGUGAAGAAUAUUGCCGGUAGCUACGGAGCAUGCCACGGCUAACUACGUGCCAGCAGCCGCGGUAAUACGGAGGUGGCAAGCGUUGUCCGGAAUUACUGGGCGUAAAGGGAACGCAGGCGGGAAGCCAAGUCAGCUGUGAAAGCUACGGGCUUAACUUGUAGACUGCAGUUGAAACUGGUUUUCUUGAGUGAAGUAGAGGUUGGCGGAAUUCCGAGUGUAGCGGUGAAAUGCGUAGAUAUUCGGAGGAACACCGGUGGCGAAGGCGGCCAUCUGGGCUUUAACUGACGCUGAGGCUCGAAAGUGUGGGGAGCAAACAGGAUUAGAUACCCUGGUAGUC